CUCCCCCCUCCCACGUUCCCGCUCGCUGAGCCUCCACUUUCGGUCUUUGCGGCCCUUUCUUCCUCUCCGUGCGGCGUGUGUGUCCUGAGCGCCAGUCUGCGUUUUGUCUCCUGCAUUUAGAGCCACAAAAAGCUGCACCCAAGCUUGUUUGAC
Molecule: long non-coding RNA, 153 nt
Filed under: Ursus americanus (American black bear)
Lineage: Eukaryota; Metazoa; Chordata; Mammalia; Carnivora; Ursidae
Description: lncRNA (ENSUAMG00000000453.1)
Source: RNAcentral